AUCCGGAGGAUGCGAGCGUUAUCCGGAUUUAUUGGGUUUAAAGGGAGCGUAGGCGGGAGCUUAAGUCAGCGGUUAAAUGGUGCGGCUCAACCGUGCCCUGCCGUUGAAACUGGGUUUCUUGCGAGUGCAAGAGGCGGAUGGAAUUCAUGGAGUAGCGGUGGAAUGCUUAGAUAUCAUGAAGAACUCCGAUUGCGAAGGCAGUCCGCUGGGGCACGUCUGACGCUGAUGCUCGAAGGUGCGGGAAUCAAACAGGAUUAGAUACCCUGGUAGUCCGCACGGUAAACGAUGGUUACCCGCUGUCGGCGGCAGACAGUCGGCGGCCAAGCGAAAGCGAUAAGUAAUCCACCUGGGGAGUACGCCGGCAACAGUGAAACUCAAAUGAAUUGACGGGG
Molecule: ribosomal RNA, 392 nt
Filed under: uncultured bacterium
Lineage: Bacteria
Description: partial 16S ribosomal RNA
Rfam family: Bacterial small subunit ribosomal RNA
Source: RNAcentral